This is an RNA transcript of Cavia porcellus (domestic guinea pig), 17374 nucleotides long. It is a transcript of the gene named spermatogenesis-associated protein 31E1-like, with no coding region annotated. NCBI's taxonomy places the organism in Eukaryota, Metazoa, Chordata, Mammalia, Rodentia, Caviidae. The transcript is spliced from 3 exons. The record is from RefSeq and is a predicted model, not a curated record.
AAUUACAUUUUCAAUUUCAUUAACAGAGAUUGGGUUAUUCAACAGUUUUACAUCCUCUUGAUCUAGCUUUGGUACUUCAUAUGCUUCUAAGAAUCUGUCUAUUCUGUGUUAUCAAACUUUUGAGAGUAGAGGUUUUCGAAAUAGGUGUUGAUGAUCUUCUGUAUUUCUAUUGGGUCUGUAGUGAUUUCACCUUUUUCAUUUCUUAUUGCAUGAAUUUGAGCUUUUUCUUCCCUUUUUAAAAUAAGGUUGGCUAGGGGCUUAUUGAUUUUAUUUAUUCUUUCAAAGAACCAACUCUUUGAUUCGUUGAUUCUUUGGAUUGUAUUCUUAGUCUCUAUUGCAUUGAUUUCUGCUCUGAUUUUUAUAAUUUCCUCUCUUCUUUUGGCUUUGGGCUUGACUUGCUCUUCUUCUUCUAGCUGUUUGAGGUGUCACAACCUGUUUUCUGGAGAGGAUCACACACCCAUCUAAUUUGCUUACCCCAAAUCUAACCCAUUACUCCAUGUUACUUUUAGUUCAUCUAUUAAUGUUACAGAACAGGUUUUAUGUGAAUAGUUGCAUAGUAUUUUAUAGUGUAGUCAUUGAAUAUUUUAUUUAAUGGCCCCAUUUCUCACUGUUAGGUUAUUGGCCACAUUUUGCUCAAAUAUGACUCAAAGUUAAAAUAAAUGUGUAUAUUUUGGUACAUGUAUAUGAGAAUAUUUCUGUAGGAUAUGUUGCUAGAAUAGAAUUCCUCAAAAAAUGUGAAAAUUUAAAUGCUUGAAGAGGUAUUUCUAAAUUUCCCCCAAAUCCAUUUAGGUUUCUAUCAGGACCAUGAACUGAGGUUCACAUGCUCAGCUACAGUAGAAGUAUUAGUCUUUCUGUUUUUGUGUAUCUGAUAAGGGAAAAUGUUAUUUCAUGUUUUAAAGGCUAUUUCUCGAAUUAUCAAAGGGAUAGUGCAUCUUGCAUCUUGUUCUGAGAACAGUGAAUAUUUCUAUUUGAGAUUAUAUAUUUAAUUUCCUAAUUGGAAAAAUGGCUCAUACACUACUAUUUUAUUUGUGAUAUGUAUGAAGACUAUAUUCUUAUUUUUUUAUAAGUGGAUUUUCAAAAUAUUAAAACCUGUUGUGUGUGUGAAGGUAGUGGGUCUUGUUUUUAAGGUUUAUUUUGAAGAGGAUAAAACCAAUCAAAACCAAUGUAAUAGUUACAGAACUUCGAAAUUGCAAAAUCCACAAUAGUUACUGUAAUGCCUCUUGAUAUCUUCAAAAUAGCUGCAGAUAACUUUGGACAUAAUAAAAAUCAAACAGAACAGCUAGAAACAAAAACAAAAAAAAAUGAAUGCAAUAAAGAACUUCAAAACAAGCCAAUAGUGAAUUCAAAAUUGCUACCAUAAUAAUUCUUGCUAUCUUUGAAAUAGCUGCUCCAGCCAUUAGAUUUAACAUAAGUAAAACAGAAGAGAAUAAAACCCAACCCAACAAAACAAAUGGAAAUGAUAUAGGACUUCCAAAACAAGACCAUAGGGAAUCAACAAUGGCUGCAACCCUCAGAAAGAGAUCCUCCCUAGAUGCCACACUGUGUACUGCUGUCCUCUGACCCCAUGAUCAGACCCCUGAUCCUAGACCUGCAAUGUUACUGAAACAGCAAAGUAUCACAGGCAUCCAACUGCAUUUCACCUCCAUAGCCAUCACAACAGCCUGUCUUUCUUAGGAUAAGCCAGUCGCUGAUGGUGGGAAGGGUGUUGGUACUUCUUGUUUGCCAGCCACCAGAAGGGGCUGGAGUGUGGCUGUUCUAGUCUGGUGGUGGCCUAUGCAUGGCAUUGCUUCUAAGACUGGGCUUGCUUGCUGGUGUGGCCUUGUUCUCUCUCUCCCCUACAGUCUGCAAAUGUCACUGACUCAAAGAGAGAGGCUGGGCUCUGUCUAUUCCAGCCCGGUGGCGGCCUAUACAUUGUGCUGGCUCCCAGACUGGGCUUACUUGCUGCUGUGGCCUUCUCGUUUCUACCUCCAGUCUGCAAAGGGUGCUGACUCACAGGGAGAGGCUGGGGUCUAUCUGUUCCAGUCUGGCAGCAGCCCGCUCAUGGUCAGUAGUGGGUCUUUUAAAAAAUGAUUUUAAUUGACAAAAUGGUAUGCAUUUAUUGUGAACAUGUUGUUUUGAACUAUGUGUUCAUUAUGGAAUGACUUAAAUUAACAUAUGAAUUAUCUCAGGUAGGAGUAAUUAUCAUUGUCAUUUUUGUGGUGAGAACACUUUAAACUUACUGUCUUAGUAUUUUUAAAAUAUAUAUUGUUACUAACUGUACUUAUCCUGCUCUACAGUAGAUCAUAAUUCUGAUUUGCUUAACCCUUACUUUAGUGCUAACAGAGAAAGUUUCCAUAGAUUGUGCUACAGGGCAGCAGGAUGCUUCAUGGCUAUGGGCGUGGUCUUUGGAGUCUGACUGACCUGCUUUGGGCUGCAGGUUGAGUCAGAUCCUUGCGAAAGUUUCUUACCUUCCCUGUGCCUGUCUCACCACUUUUUGUAAAAUAAGUAUAGUAAAAGUUCUGAACUCACACAAUUUUUGUGAGUUCAGAACUUUCAUUUUUUAUGUUUUAGCACUGUUGGUGUUUGGACCAGGGGCCUUGCACAUGCUAGACAAGUGCUAUACCACUGAGCUGGACCCUAGUGCUACCGUCAGCUAUAGACACGAUAGUAACAUAAUGCAUGUAAUGUAGCACAAUUGCUAACACUUCAAGGUGCUCAAUAAAUGCCAUCUGUCAAAAUUAUUAUUUAUAAUGCAUUCAGUAUAUGCAGAGCGUUAGACAUUUAUGUUUUAUUCUAGGUCCUAGAAACUUUCCCAGUAAAAGUUAAAUAUCCUAGAUGGCUCAACCAAUUCCCUUUUAUUAGACCGGGCAUUUCUCAUUAUGUUUUAGCCAGCCAUAUGAAAUGUUUAUUUCUUAGAGUACUAAAAUAAUUAACUUUCCCAUUAAUUCAAUCUCACUUUUAAGUUCAUAGAGUGUUUAAGACCUGAGAGGUUCAGUUAUCUUCAAAAGUCUGUUGCAUUUCCUCUGGAUGAAAUUUAUUCUAUAUUCCUUUAAAAUAUGAAAAUCUAAAUUUAUAUGAAAUGGAAGGAAACCAAGACAGAAAAUUAGAAAACAGAAAGGAAACUUAAAGGCAUUUUAGUUCAACUUUUCACUUUAUAGGUGAAAGCUGAAGCCCAGGGGCAGGAAGCAACUUUUCUAAGGUCUCACAAGAGGAGGAGAACUCAGACAUCCCAACGUGAGAGCAGCACUCUGUGAAACCAUGCCGUGUUCAAGGAGCCACUGCUGGUCACCCAGCUUGGUUUGAAAAAUCGUCUCCUUGAUACAGUCCCAAAGGAAAUGAAAUCACCACCUUGUUAAAAUGUCUCCACGCUCAUGCUCAUUUCAACACUAUUCACAAAAGGAAAAUUGUGGAAACAACCUAGGUAUCUACCCACAAAUAAAUGGAUAGAAAAUGGUGAUAUUUAUUUACCAUGAAACAUUAGUCAGCCUUAAAAAAAUGAGGUAAUCGUACCAUUCACUACAGCAUGGAUGGAUCUAGAGGAUAUUUUACUUGGUGCAAUAAACCAGACACAUAAAUAAUAUUGUAUGAUCUUACAUAUGAAAUCUAAUGAAAAGAUUGAAUAUAGAGAGAUGGAGAAUGAAACAGUGAUUAGGAGGGUUAGUGUGGAAGAAGGAAUAGGAAACCACUGUUUGAAAGGACAGAUGUAGCAAAUAUGGAGGAUGAGGAGAUCUAAAGAUUUAAUGUCUCCAGGGGUGUAACUCGGCAGCACAGCAUCUGCCUUGUAAGCAUGAGGUCUUGAGUUUGAUUUCUGAUUUAGGAAAGAAGAAAAAAAAGCAAGCUACGCCAGGCCCAGGAAGAGAAAUUUAGAUAGUGCCUCCUGAGAAUCAGCCAUGCUUGGACUCAGAGAAGCCAGCUAACAAGGCAACUAGCCAGUGUUUCUAGUAAGCUGCACAAGUCCUGCAGAGCCCAGAAGAGAAAGGUCAGAUAGCACCUCCUGUGAGCUCACCAAGCCUACUGGCAGGCAGGCUGAGAAGUCUCUGUCCCACAAGCAAUCAGCUGAUUAGGAGGACGGGCUGAGCGGUUACAGUGUGCAGUAUAGCAAACAUGGGAGAUUUCAUUCUAUCUUGGUUUUGAAGUCCAAUAUUAUUCUCAUUGUUCUGAUCAAUUGUUUUGCUUUGUUGAAUAUUGUAUUUUGGUUGGUUUUAUUGUGGUUUUUGUUUGAUUUUGUUAUAUCUGAUGGAAAGGACAACUAUUGUGAAGAUAACAAGAUGCACUAUGGUAGCCUUUGUUGUCUUCCUAUUGUCCUGGUUUGAAGUUCUGUACCCAUUUCACUGCUUUUUUAUUGGAUUUAUUCUGUGUUUUUGGGGGGUUAUGACCUUUAAAAUAAAAUUUAUAAAAGAUAUGAUGUACAAUGGGGAAGUUAGAGCUAAAACAAUUGUACUCAGAAUCAAAAUUUGGGAGACUGUGUAGAUUACAGCUUCUGUUACUCCUAUGUGUGGUGAAGGAUACAUUAAUUAAUCCACCAUAGUAGCUAUUUUUCUAUAAAGAGUGUGUGGCAUAUCUUAAAUCUAUCCAAUGAAAUACAUUUAAAAGCUAACAUACAACAAUAAAGGUUUUUAAAAGAUAUUAUGAGUCACAAUGGUCUGGAGUUUGUCAAGAAAGCAAGGCGUGACACCCUUCUCUAACUGUUGGAGGAUGUGGGCACGGUGAGGUCCAGCACCACAGCGCUCCAGGUCUCCUUCACUUUUGUCUAUGCUUAGCAGCUCACGUAUAAGAAGAGUGUGCAGCCAUCAAGGUAGACAGUCCCAGGGGUCCUGCAGGCUGGCUGUUGGCAGUCCCUGGGACACAUGCCAGAGAUGCCACAGGUGCCAAUUACUUGUGGAAAGUGAGUCAGCUGCCACCUGUGGAUUACCAGUCACCUUGCUUUAGGUGGAUAUUGUCUCCACCCUCCUACCUGCAUCAUCUGGGGCGACACCCUUACGAGAAUUCCCAAGCGGCCCCAUCCUGGCCUUCCAGCACCACACGCUCAGUAAUUGAGCACACUCACUAAAGCAGCCAGCAGCCACUGAUCCCUGUCAUAAAAAUGAGCAAACAUUCUCUGCAUGAUCAAAUAGUUAUCUUCUUGCUUCCUUCACUCAUUUAUUUUUUUAUUUAUAUCAUGGAGUAAUAGCAUGUUUUUGAUUGUUAAUAUAGAGUAAGCCAAAACAAGAAUUAGGCAAAUCUAAUGAGUUUACCAUACCUCAAAAGAAUAAAAGGUAACAUAUUCCCAGCCUAUAUAUGAUGGGUAGAAAUCUGGACACAUUGAUCGUUUAGUUGUUCAUUUACUUAAACAUUAGUGCUUGUUUACUGAGCACCUACCAGGAAUUGUCCUGUUGCUGGCUUUUCAAAGUGUGAAUAAUCCUAAAUCCUCCAUGAAAGACUGGCUCAGAGUUCACGUACACCUGGCUGCUUAGUCUUGAAUUGUUUGCUACCAUUAAAUAAUUCUAUCACCUUGAGCAAAUAAAUAGCUUCUCUAAACUUUAUAUUCCCAAUUCUUAUGUAAGGACUAUUGGUUCCUUCUUUACAUAUUUCACUGUGAGGAUAUUAAAGCAUUUAACAUAGUGUGUAAAACAAAGUAACAAUUACCAAUUAUGAUUUUAAGAGGAUUAGAAAUCAGAAGAUAGGUCAACCCUGAAAACUUAGAAAUGAGAUCAAUAAACAGUUAAGAGUUACUGUAUGGGACAAUGUCUUUUUUUUUUUUUAUUUAAAGAAAAGGAAACGAAAAAAAAAUACAUGGAGAUUAAAAAAAAAAGGGUAGAAAUAAUACUAAAUUACAGACAAACAAAAGGUAAGAAAUUGCCAGUUGAUAAGUUACAAAUUGUCAUCUUCGAAAUGGCUGUUCAGGUUAUAGAAUUAAAGUAUAUAGAAUGACAUUCAAAAAAAUGACCCUACAAACCAUUCUGCUCUAUGGCCGAACAAAAGCUCCGUAAUAUGAUUAUCAGUCCCACCUAUUUGUUUUACAUCUCUAAGAGGAUAAGGUUAACCAUAUCAAAACAGAACAGAACAUUUAAAAAAAAAUAAAAAACAAUUUAAAGAAAUACAGAUUUCAAAGCAAGUCCACUGGAGAUCUACCUUAUCUAACUGUCUCUAGCUUCUUACAAAUAGUUGUCCCUAACUUCACCCACUUUCUAUACUUAUUGCAUAUUAUAGAACUAAUCAAAUCAUUACAGGAUGAUGGAGUCUUUUUAGGUCCUCAAGUUCCAAAUUAGGGAAGACAAUACCAACUACCAUCGCAUCUCUCAUUCUCUUUGUGAUAGCCGUCCCCAUCUCUGCAUAUGCUGAAGUUGAGCUGAAGAAACCAGUCCAGAGUCAUUUUAAUCAGCAAGCAAUAGAUUGCUAGAAUUUAUAUUAUAAUGCUACAAAAUAAGCCUCGGGUUUUUCUGGUCUCUUCCUCAGAGUAUUUGUUCCUAUCCUCUCUGUAUUAUAGGGAAAACCAAGUCAUAACAAGACAACGAAACAAUUUCCUAGAUAAACAUGCAAUGGAUAGGACUUAUAAAACUAUAAUAUAAAUGAUCUUCCGUAGCUACUAUGUUUUCGCUUGUUAUUUUCAAUAGAUUUGUCGACAACACUGGCUUAUUAUAGUUAAACAUACUAUCACCUAUUUUUAUAAAAACUUAUCUUUGACUGCAUUGUAGUAUUUGAGAGCUGUUACUGAUUCAUACCAGUAUGGAUAUCCUUUACAUCUUGUCAUGCUCAGAGUAGUUUCCUCUACUUUUAGGGUUGAUUCUAACACGCAUACCGAUUUCAAAUAGGAUCAGUCAAGGCCAUCCAAUAGUCUUAUGAUUCAGAUACAAUUAAGAUCAGUCAUAGUAAGACAAUGUAAGUAAUACAGAAUUUCAGCCUAAGUCAAUAGGAAAGUAAGGAUAGUUACCGUGGUAUAACCUGCUAUUUUUGGUUCUAGAGGUCUGUGUCCUCAAAUCUGAUAUGAGUGGACAGACCAGAACAAAUUUAAUUCAAUCUAAAUAUGGCACUAGGACUACUGUGUCUUUUAAAUCGUUAUACACCAUUAGCAAUGACCUCUGCUUUUUUUUUUUAAAUAUAGUUUCAGAGCUGUCUCUACUAAAGACUAGCUUACCGUCUCUGCCUCAUGUCUGCUACUCCACUUUUCUGCUAUAAUUUGUCCACCUUAUUCCCUCAUUCCAUGGUCUGCCCCGUUCACUGAGGCUUCUCUGCCACUGUAGCUGUAAUCCUGAUAUCUCUUCCUCUCUUUCUCUGUAAUGUCCUUCAGCGCUCUCUGUAGGGUUGGAUUGGUGGCCACGAACUCCCACAGUUCCUCCUUGUCUUGAAAGUAUCUUAUUUCUUCAUUAAUUUUUAGAGAGAGUUUUGACGGAUAUAUGAACUAGGUUGCAUAUUUUUUUCCUUCAGGACUUGGAAUAUUUCUCCCCACUCCCUUCUUGACUUAAGAGUUUGUGUUGAUAAGUCUGCUGUUAUUUUGAUAGAUUUCCCAUUAUAGGUAACCUGCAUCCUUUCUCUGGCUGCUUUUAAUAUUCUGUUUUUUUGGUGGAUUUCUGGGAUCUCGAUUAUUAUAUGCCUAGGCGUAGAUCUGUUUUGGUUGUAGGUAGCUGGCGUUCUGUAUGCUUCUUUUAUCUGGAUAUCAUUUCUUUUUGCUAUACGUGGGAAAUUUUGCUUUAAUAUCUCUGUGAAUAUUUUUUGUAUUUCAUUUUUGGAUGUUCCUGCUUCCUCACUCACAUUCUUUAUUCUUAGGUUAUGUAGCUUUUUAUCAUCUUCCAGUUUUAGAAUUGCUUCUUUCUGGUUCCUUGUUAUUUUUAAGAGGCUUUUUCUUUCACGUUCAUAAGCCCUAAAUCUCUCUUCAAGUUUCAGAAGGUUGUCUUUAGUUUCUGUCAAGGCAUUUUGCCAAUAUUCAAUGGAGUUCUUAGUUUCCUGAUAUUCUCUUUGGAUCUGUUUCAUGUAUUCUAAGUUAUGCUUAAAUUCUUCUUCAGAUGCUUCUCUUUCUUUUCUGAUUUCCUCAGUUCUUCCAUCUGUGUUCUCUUGGGCGGGGCUUGUCAUUUCUUUAAUUAAUCUCUUUAUAUCUUGCCUCACUUGGAUCAGGAGUACAUCUUUAAAUUCCUCUAUGAGAUCAUGUAAGUACUUUUUAAUUUCGGCUGAUGCUGUGUCGAGUAGAGGAUGGUUACUGUGCUUGUUCUCUUCAGUGUUUAGUUCUCUUGGGUUUAAUUUCUCCUGUUGAACAGCGGGAGAUUUUUUUUAAUUUUUAUUUCUUGUCAUGUUUCUGGUUUCUUUCAGACUGUCCUGGAGUUCUCUGGCCCUCUCUGAAUUGCUCAGGGCCUUUCAGAAGCGUGCUGGCUUGAGUUUUUGCUGUCCUCCCCAAUUUGCUGUUAUCUGGGGUAGGCUGGGAUGUAGGGGCGGUACAGUCUAGUCUCUAGCCUCUGUGUCAGUUAGUUCAUAAAUUAGGCUGUACUUUCUGGUUGUCACUGAGUUGUGACUAUUUUGUAUCUGCUUAUUGGGCCCCAAGCAGAGGCUUGGUUUAGCCCCAGUAGCUCCUGCCAGUUCUCUUUGAAUCAGAAGCAGCUGAGUAAUGGCACAGGAUUCUGCCCAGGUCCCAGCCGUUCUCUUCCAAACCUCUCUGUGAUAGGAGCACCAGAAAAGCAGAUCUGCCCAAAACCAAGAUGGCUCCCACUAAGUUCUCUGUGUGGAGCUGAAGCCAGCAAGUAAUCAGGCUCUGCCAGGACUCAAGAUGUCUUCCACCAGCCCUCCCUACAGGGGGACCUGGUGAUGUCACCAAGCUGCGGUUUCUGCUGCCAGGCUAAUAUGUCUGCACCAGACUCUGCGUUAUUGAUUUCCCCGUGGUGGCGGGCCAGCUGUUCUCUGGCCAAACCCAGCAGCCGCGGGGUUUUCUGUACUCACCAGAGUCCGGUGCAAGUCCCCACUCCGGGACCACCGCACACCAAGCUGUCCACUUUUCCCCCACUCGCGGCUCAGCGCUGACCGGUCAGAUUUCUGUGCACCGUUUAGAUUUGAAACGCCAGAGGUUUGUACGUCCGCUCUGGUGCAGCGGUGCAGAACUGGCUGCUACUUGGAGUCUCGAUCUGGGUCUCAGUUUCCCGCGGUCCCCAAAAGCAACUCAGCUUUUCGUGCUGGGUCCACGAGUCUGUUUGUUGAUUUAAGGGCGCGGGAUUUGCAGCCUCCCGUCUCAGCACGACUUUAAAUCCUCCAGCUGUACUGUCUUGGUUAAUAAGAAUCGCUAUUGAUUUGUCUGGUCCUCUCCAUGCUGUCUUUUUUUAGCUUUGAGUUUGAAUUCUCUGGAGAGACUCUUCGCUCGAUCCCCUAGCUCGCCGCCAUUUUCAGCACCUCCCCGGGACAAUGUCUUUUUUCAACUCCAUUUUAUUCAAACAUAAAAACAAAAAAGGAGGAGGAGGAGCAGGAAGAAAAGGAGAGGGAGAAGGAGAAGGAGGAGGAGAAGGAGAAGGAAAAGAAGAAGAAGAAGAUGAAGAAGAAGAAGAAGAAGAAGAAGAAGAAGAAAGAAGAAGAAGAAGAAGAAGAAGAAGAAGAAGAAGAAAAGAAGAGAAGUGUAUCAAUCAAUGGCAACAAUGGUACAUACAUUGUACAUUGUCAUCCCCAAAUCAUUCACCAAAACACAAUUGAAUUAUUGUCUGAACAAUACCAGCACAAAUCUUUCUCUUUAGUGAACUCAGAGAAAUCAGUAGUAUAAGUAUCCUAGCUAUUUUAUAUACCUAUACAUAUACAUGUACAUAUACAUGUGUUUUUUUCUUUCAGCUUUUCAACAUUAAUUAAACAAUAUGAUGUUUACACAUGUGUGUCUUUUUCUGGGGAGUAUUAGGGAUUGAACUCACAACCUCAUGCUUGCCAGGAAGGUGCUUAUGCUGCUCUGCCUAAUCUCCAGCUCAACACUUGUGUGUCUCAUUUAUUUCACUAAUGAGUUCUCAAGAUGCAUCCAUUUACCUACAGAAGUGUCCAGUUUAUCAUUAUUUAUGGCUGAGUAGUACUCCAUUGUGUAAAAAUACAACUUUUUUUAAUCCAUCCCUCAGUUGAUGGGCAUUUAGGUUGUUUCCAAGAUUUAGCUAUUAUAAAUUGUGCUGCUAUAAACAUGAGUGCACAUAUAUCUCUGUGGUAUAAUUCUUUUGGAAAGAUAUCCAGAAGGGGAAUAGCUGGAUUGAAUGGGACUUCCAAUCCUAGUUUUUUGAGGAAUCUCCAUACUGGUUUCCACAGUGGCUGCACCAGUCUACAUUCCACCAACAGUAGAAAAGGAUUCCUUUUUCUCCACAGCUCCUCCAGCAUUUGUUAUUGGUUGAUUUCUUGUUACUAGCCAUAUUUCUGGGGUGAAGUAGAAUCUCAGUGUUUUAAUUUGCAUCUCUCGAAUGAUCAGUAAUGUUGAACAUUUUUUCUACAUAUUUAUCCACUGUUUGUAUUUCUUCAUCUGAGAAGUGUGUAUUCAUCUCACAUGCCCAUGUUUGGAUGGGGUCUUUAAAUCAGGGAAAACUGAUUUUUUUUUUUUUUGAGUUCUUAAUAUGUUCUCAAGAGUAAUCCUUUGUUUUAGGUACAGCUAACGAACAUUUUCUCCCACAUUGUGGGUUGUCUCUUCAUUGUGUUAGUGAUAUCUUGCUGUACAAAAGCUUUUCAGGAGGGUGAGAUACCAGUCAUUGAUUCUUUGUGAUAGUUCCUGUGCAACCUGGGUUUUGUUUAUAAAGCCUUUGUAUGCACUGAAGUCUUCAGGACUUAUCUUUCAGCAGAUUUAAUGUUUCUGUUUUAAUAUUAAGAUCUUUGAUCCAUUCUGACUUCAGCUUAGUACAUGGUAAAAGAUAUGGGUCCAGUUUUAAUAUCUGGCAUUUGUAGAGACAGUUUUGCCAGCACCAUUUAUUAAAGAUGCUUUCUUUCUUCCUGUGAAUAUUUGGCACCUUUGUCAAAGAUAAGAUGUCUUAGCAUGUCUGAAGUUGUUUCUGUAUCUUAUAAUCUAUUCCGUGGAUUUUCAGGUCUGCUUUUUUGCCAGUACCACACUUUUUUAUCAUAGUAGUUUUGUAGUAUAAUUUCAAGUCAGGAAUUGUGAUGCCCUUUGACUUGUCUUUGUUGCCCAGAAUUGCCUUUGCUAGCCUAGGUCUCUUCUGGUUCCAGAUGAAUUUUAGGAUUGUUUUGUCUAAUUCUGUGAGAUAUGCUAUUGGAAUUUUGAUUGGCAUUGCUUUGGAUCUGUGUAACAGCUUUGGAAGUAUGGCCAUUUUCACUGUAUUAGUUCUUCCAAGAGCACAAGAUAUCUCUCCAUUUUCUACUAUCCUCUUCAAUCUUCUUUUUCAGAUCACGUAGUUUUCAAUGUAGGGAUCUUUUACAACCUUUGUUAGAUUGAUUCCUAGGUAUUUAAUUUUUGAGGUUACUAUUGUAAAAGGUGUUGUUUCCCUGAUUUCUCUCUCAGUGAGUUUGUUAUUUGUGUAUAAGAAGCCUAUUGAUUUUUGAGCAUUGACUUUGUAACCAGCUAUGUUACUUUUAAUUUGUUUAUUAAAUCUAUAAGUUUUUUGGUGGAGUUUUGGGGGUCUUCUAAGUAAAGUAUUGUGUCAUUUGCAGACAAUUGUGGUUUAACUUCUUCCUUUCCUAUCUGUAUUCCUUUUGUUUCUCUUGUCUCAUUGCUCCAGCUGAUGUUUCCAGGACUAUGUGAAGUAAGAGUAGAGACAGUGGACAUCCUUGUCUUGAACAAGAUUUUUUGGAUACUUAUUAUGUGCUAAUAAGUGUAUGUGUUGGGGAUAAAGAGAUGAACCAAUUCUUGAACUCCCACUUGUAGGGAAAUGGCAUAAAAUUCAGAAGUAUAAAUCCCAGGUUAAGCAUUAUAAAAAAUUGGAAUUCUGAAAUCAGUUGUCUUGGGAGUAGUCCCUUGUUUCUUGAUGGAUGGGCUGGGACCAAGUUUAAAGGUAAAGGAGUUCCUCUGGCACCUUUGCCAAUGACUCAGAGAGAGAACUGUGUCUGGAGGCAGUUCAGGCUCUGGGUCAGGAUGGUGCCACCAAGGCCCCCAUGCCUCUAAAGGGGAUACAGAAGCCAAGUCUUCAAAGGUUUGAUGACCUAUCAGCAUCAAUGCUUUCUGUCUAAAAGAGGUGCAGUCUGAGCUCAGAAAGCUGAGCCACCCUACCAGGGUUAAAAUAAUUUCUGACAUAAUAAUAAUACUGGCAGUGAAAUCUUAUGCUUAUGUGAUACUUCAUGUCUUCAAAUAAGGUCCACUUGCGUAUCUGUCACUAGAGGUGUUCAGGGUGCACUGAAACAGCCCCAAGAAAUUUCUCUAUGCACAAUACAUGUUGUAAUGGAGCACCCAACAUUUUCACAGAGCUAAGUAACCAUAUAAAGGCUGUUUUAGGACCUGUUGGGAUUAGAAAUUGUACAUCCAGUUUGGAUAAACUAUAGGAAGACCUUUUAAUGCCCUUCAACUGGUUAAUCAUGAUGUGUUGACUGUGAUGGCAGCAUCUGUGCUGUCCUGUCAAUUCAAGGAAUGUGGUCUUGGAAUGGUAGUCUUUUCUUGCUAUCUCAUCCUUAUUUUUUAAAAUUUUAUUUUAAAGAGAAUAAAACCAAGCAAAAUAAAACAGAAUAAAGUCGAUCAAAGGAAGACAGUGUAAGUGACACAGGAUUUCAAAACAAGAUAAUAGAAAAUCAACAAUGGUUACCAUAGUGUCUCUUGCUGUUCUUAGAAUAGGUGCCUAUACCUUGAAGCAUAGUAAAAUCAAACAAAACAGAAUAGAAUAGAAUCAAUAACAAUGACAACAAUAACAACAAAAAUAAAUGCAAUACAGGACUUCAAAACAAGACAAUAGUAAAUUAAAAAUGGCUACCAUAAUAUAUCUUGUUAUUGCUGAAAUAGCUGCCCAUGCCAUUGGAUAUAAUAAAAUUAAACAAGAUAAAACAGAAUAAAACCCAUCCAAACAAAACAGUGAGACUGACACACAAUGUCAAAACAAGAUAAUAGGGAAUUACAAUGAACACCACCUUCAGAAGGAGAUUCCUCAUGUAUGCUACAUUGCAUAUUGUUAUCCUCUAAAUAGAUAAUCAUCAGACUGCUGGCUUUAGGCCUGCAAAGUCAGUGAAAUACUAAGCACUACAAACAUUAUGCCAUCAUCACAGCCUGUGUUUCAGCUGGUCACUUGCGGGGGGAGGGGUGAGCGCUGGCUCUUCUUGUCUCUCUGCCCACAGAACAGGAGGGGCUGGUGUCUGGCUCUCCCCCAGUCAGCCUGUGCAUGGCACCAACUCACAGGACUUCUUGUUCUCCUCCUCCACAGUCCACCUACCUUAUCCAUUUUUUGCACACUCGUGUAAAUUCAAACUGGACCCUUCAGCAUAUGUUAGUGCUCAUCUUUGGCUGAAGUGAAAAGAGGGACAUCAGAGCUCCAUCACAGAGUUCAUCCUCCGAGGAUCCCCCUUGACACAAGACUGCAGAUGCUCCUCUGUGGUCCCUUCUCUCUUCUUCACAUUAGCCCUGCUGGAAAACAGGGCCAUUCUGGACAGCAGCCUGCGCACGCCCAUGCACUUCUUCCUCCUCUCAUUCCUGGCCAUUGUGACAUGACCUGUGAUGGAACCCUGUGCCUAGAUACCAGUGAACAUGCUGAGCCCAGGCAAGUCCAUGAUUGGUAAGCUUGACCACAGAUUUUGUCAAUGGAUGCCAGUCUUUAAUCAAUAAAUCUCCAUUUCCCCUAAGCCUAAGCAAAUAAUUAGGUGCAUUGACCCUGUGUAAGAGCAAGAAUCAUUGUGAGGAAAUAAGCAGAUGUGGGGUGAAAAUGGACAGAGGUGUCAGUGGGCUCUUCCUGUGGCUGAUGGGUUUUUAAACAUAGUAUUGCUGGGACUUCAUAUGGUCAUGCUCACAGUUCUGCUAUCCCUGAGUGCACCCUUUUAACUCCUAGGUGUCUAUUUUAAGCUAUUAGAAGUCAUAGCAAUAUGUAAAAUGAAUUUCUUCCCAUAGCGGUUGUCAACUUUAUAUGUAGAUAAGUGGAAAACAAGCAACCUAUGUUUGAUAAAAAUGAUGAAUCCCGCAAAACCUAAGUGGGGUGGAAAAUGGAAUGCUUUGUGGAAUUUGUAUCAUUGAGUCUCAGAAAAAGAGAGAAGUGAGUUUUGGCAGUACUGGGUACCCAACAUUACAAAGCACUGAGGUUGAUGAUUCAAGUGUCAUACCAAAUGGGAAGAAGUUUUUUUUUUGGUACAGCACCCUGUUUAAGACACUUAUGAUAUUGUGUUCCUCAGGCUAUGGUUUAGGAGGUUCAACACAGGAUCAAAAAGGCUGUAAAAGAGGGAUGGAAAGUCUGUGGUGGCCAUCCACAUGACAUAGUACUACCAAAGAAGAGCCUGACCAUGCAAAGGUGGGAAGGCCUUUCUGUGCCCCCACCCCCAGCUAUGUCCUCAGUAUGGCAACCAGAAUGCCUGAGGAGGGAACCAGCCAGAAGCAGAGGGACAUCAUAAAAACAAGCCCAUAGGCUGCAAAGAGGAUGACUUAGUUGAGCCUGGUGUCAGACACCUAGGCAUUAAAAGGGUGCACUCAGGUUGGCAGACAGGCUUUCACAGAAGAAGUGGCUGAUUUCAUGAAGCCCACAGAAUGUUGAUAACCACAUGGACCCGGGCCAGGCAGUGAUAGCUAGGAUGAUCCAGAAUAUUUGGUUGAUGGUGAUAGAACAUUGGAGAAGGUGGCUUAUGGCCACAUAGGGAUUUUUGGACAUCUGUACCAGAAGGAGGCAUUGUGGGUGUGCAAAUGUCAAUAAUGAAAGGUCUGAGAUAGACAGCCAUCAAAGGAGGUGGGCUGAGCACAGUGCUCCAUCAUAGACCAUGUUCACAAUGGCCAGGAGUGAGAGGAGGAAGAAUACGGGAGUGUGCAGUCUGCUGUCCAGAAUGGCCCUGUGUCUAGGCAGGGUUAAUGUGUAAAAGGGAGAAGAUUAUUUUCAGACUGCCUAUGGUAAAACUGCUAACAACAUUCUAAAGUCUAGAAAUAAUCAGCAAUGGGAAGAUUCCAAGGAGGAGAAUUAGAGUAAUCCCAGUGAAAGAGGCAAUGCCAGUUUCUCAAUACAAAUAUUAUCUGUGUUGUUUCAAACAUUGGGAAUCAGACUUGACUCUCUAGAGCAGUUUACGUGAGAACAGCAGCAAAAUGAUAAAAAGUGAAGAAUGCGACAAUGUGUCAUUUAGGUCCCAGCAGAGAAUCAAUAGAAGCCCUACAAAUGAGCUUUAUGACUAUGUUAUUUUAUAGUGGGUGAUACAUACAAACCAACUGGCUAUUGGGAAUUAAUCUAUGGACUGAUUCACAGUUGCCGAGUUUACCGAAGUAUUAGUUUUGAAUAACAACAUAUCCAAUUUGUAGAAAUUGGAUUUUUAAGAUUUCCUGCUCUUCAUGUAUUAUUGUGAGUUUAGAUUUUUGAAUGCAUUGUUUUUAAUAAGCUCAGGGAUUCAGGCUUUGACUUGAAGAUGGUUGUCAGUAUGUGUAGAUGUGUGUAAAAAUUUUCAAGAGAUGGUUUUCUAGGAGCUGUUUGUCAUUUAUCCUUCUCCUGUGCUGACAAAUGCAGACACUAAUAGAAGUAGGAGAAGCCACCCCUAGAGUGACAGUGUGUUGGAGGACCCCCUACUUGUGCCAAAAGGAAACAAAUGACUAUUCAUACAACGUGGUAAUUAACUUUGUCUUACUUUAUUUUUUUCAAGAAAAGCACUUGAGUAGAUAAAAGCUGCAAUCAACUGAAUCACACUGAUAAAUUAGAUAUAUUAGACCUGCAAGCUGACACAUACCUAUAAUUCUAGUACUCAAGAGGCUGGGACAGGAGGAUCACUGUGAGUUUUGAGACCAGACUGGGCUACAAAGUGAGUUCAAAGCCAACCUGAACUGCAUAGCAAAACCUUGUCUCAAAAGAAUAAAUAAGUCGGAGCUGGGGAUUUAGCUCAGCGGCAUAAGCGCCUGCCUUGCAAGCAGGCGGUCGUGAGUUCGAUCCCCAGUACCGAUAAAAAGGAAAAAGACAAAAAAAAUAAUAAAAAAAAAAAAAAAAAAAAAAAAAAAAAAAGAAUAAAUCAGUCAAUCAGUGCAUCAGUGGUAAGCAAAUCAGUCACCAAAUUUCACACUGAAGCACAGUGACAUUAAAGUGCUUUGUAGAAAAAAGGCCUUGGAACCAUACCUGCUGUGGCAGUAACCACAGAGACAUUUGGGUUUUUGGAAUUGCUUUAGUUUUUUCCAAAUUCUUGAUUUUAAUUAGCAUAUGUUUGCAGUGCCUAAUGAUCUCCUUCAUCGUGAGAGUUGAUACAUGUUUCUACACAUGUUAAUUCUUUUAUCCUCCCUCCCCUCUUCCAUUUCUUGGUUCUCCUCCCAUUUGCAAAAGGCCUUUAGAAAUGUAAGAUUUGAUAAAUACUCACAGAUGGCUAAUUUGAAGAUUUUAGCAAGUUCAGUUAACUUAUCAUUUCACAGAUUAUAAAGGCAAUAAAUUGUUAGACAAGACAAUUGGUAUUUCUGUAAGUUGGCAACAUGCCAAAUAACACUGAGGUUUUUGUGCUUCAAUCCUGGGUAAUAUUUCCUCAAAAAUAGUAUGCAUAAGUCCUGCAUUUUUGCUGUUGUGAAAUCUUUUGUCAAUGCCGUUGCUAGAAAAAAGUAAUGUGAAGCUGAGCUGUGGAACCUGUGCGUGUGGCAUCUGAAGAAAAAUGUUUCUCCAGGGUUGUGGAAGGGAAGCCUAAUGCUUUGGAUCAGACCCUGGACAUCAGACAUGGUCUUGCUAUGUAGGUCACAUUGGCCUCGAUCUCACUAUGUAGCCAGGUUGAUCUGGAACUCACCACAAUCUUCCUGCCUCAGCCUUCCAAGCACUGGGAUUUACAGAUGUGUCCCACCACGGCUAGAUACUUCUUACUUUAAGGAAAAAAACAGUGUUUAAAAAGUAUGACUCUUUGAAAGCCAAAUGGAGACACAAGUAGAAAGGAGUUCUAAAGGAGUACAUGAAGAUUGUUUAAGGUUUGGUGCCACGUGGUUAAAAGUCUGGUUCAAAAUGGAUUGUUAACAUAUUCUUGAGAGACAAUGAACAGAUCUACUCAUUUCUUUUCUUUUAUAAUUCUAAGACUUAAUAAAUGUUUACUAAGUGAACAAAUAAUGAAUAAACUCAAACAAUCAAAUUGAUUGUAUUUGUGGAGAUUGGAUCUGGAAUUUCUGGCUUUCUUAAAUCUCAUUUACUAUAUAUCUGUAUCAGGUAAAGGCAUCUCUGAGUGAAAAAGUAACACAUUUUCUGAUGUUAGGCAAGAAUCACUGGGGAAUUUCUAAAAAUUUUCAAAUAUUCAUUCUUUUCCUAUUCUAGCCUAUACUUUAUUUCAUUGUACAAGAUUUUUCAAGAUUCUUAACUGUAUAUGAAUGGAUUAAAGCUAGCCUAAAGAUAGAUAGAAAUGAAAAGAGAAACUAAAAUUAUUAAAUAUGUGAUCCACA